GACGUAGGGCGCGAGCGUUGUCCGGAUUUAUUGGGCGUAAAGAGCUCGUAGGCGGCUUGUUGCGUCGACCGUGAAAACCCGGGGCUCAACUUCGGGCUUGCGGUCGAUACGGGCGGGCUAGAGUUCGGUAGGGGAGACUGGAAUUCCUGGUGUAGCGGUGAAAUGCGCAGAUAUCAGGAGGAACACCGGUGGCGAAGGCGGUUCUCUGGGCCUUACCUGACGCUGAGGAGCGAAAGCGUGGGGAGCGAACAGG
This 253-nucleotide ribosomal RNA is filed under the name uncultured bacterium. RNAcentral's name for it is "partial 16S ribosomal RNA". It matches the Rfam family "Bacterial small subunit ribosomal RNA", at positions 524 to 776 of the family's 1533-position model. The record is from RNAcentral.